UCAAUUUCUUUGUUCUUCUUCACUUCUUUAGUCUCCACAGAGAAACUAUGGUUGCAAUCGCCACCGCCAUGAUUUAAUAGAAUUAGGGGAAGAAAUUAAUUUAUUGUUGUUGAAUCGAAGAUUGGUAUGAGAAUAUGAAGAUUUGAUUAAAGAGAUUGAUCUGGUGGUGUUGCUGAAGGGAAAUUAGAGAAUGGAGUGAAUUGCUGAUAGAGGAUGAGAAGAAGCGAAGAACAAGGAAGAAUAAAUUGAGAGAUUAAAAGUGUUGUGAUGGGUUCUUAGGGAUUGAAUCUGUUAGUGGUGUUUGAUUUGUUGUUGAUUUGAGUAAGAAAUAAAAAUUAGGGUUCUUACUUCUUAGGAUGAUUUGUAUUGAAACUGAAGAACUGGGUUAUGAAGCUUGUGUUCACUGGUUUGAUUGUAUUUGAUUACUAAAUUUGAUUUUUUAUUUUUUCUA
Long non-coding RNA from Papaver somniferum (opium poppy), 451 nucleotides. RefSeq lists it as uncharacterized. The record is from RefSeq and is a predicted model, not a curated record. Lineage: Eukaryota; Viridiplantae; Streptophyta; Magnoliopsida; Ranunculales; Papaveraceae. The transcript has 2 exons.